This 253-nucleotide ribosomal RNA is filed under the name uncultured bacterium. Its description in RNAcentral is "partial 16S ribosomal RNA". It matches the Rfam family "Bacterial small subunit ribosomal RNA", at positions 524 to 776 of the family's 1533-position model. The record is from RNAcentral.
UACGUAGGGAGCAAGCGUUGUCCGGAAUCAUUGGGCGUAAAGCGCGCGUAGGCGGCCUCAUAAGUCCGUUGUGAAAGCCAAAGGCUCAACCUUUGAAAGCCGAUGGAUACUGUGAGGCUAGAGUCCGGAAGAGGCGAGUGGAAUUCCUGGUGUAGCGGUGGAAUGCGCAGAUAUCAGGAGGAACACCGAUAGCGAAGGCAGCUCGCUGGGACGGUACUGACGCUGAGGUGCGAAAGCGUGGGGAGCGAACAGG